Molecule: non-coding RNA, 59 nt
Filed under: unclassified sequences
Source: RNAcentral
GGGUGUCGGGCUGCACACCGCGGUCGUCAGAUAGGCAUGAGGUGGUCGGGCCGCCACCU